Non-coding RNA from Paramuricea clavata, 128 nucleotides. The record is from the annotation of a GenBank genome assembly. NCBI's taxonomy places the organism in Eukaryota, Metazoa, Cnidaria, Anthozoa, Malacalcyonacea, Plexauridae.
UUUCGAUAUAUCGAAGAAAUGGCAUUCUUUCGAUAUAUCGAAGAAAUGGCAUUCUUUUAAUAUAUUGAAGAAAUGAAUGGCAUUCUUUCGAUAUAUCGAAGAAAUGGCAUUAUUUCGAUAUAUCGAGG